CCAAUAUUAGCAGGGAAUUUGGAAUCUCUACAGUUCAGGGGACUGACUAGCCACAGUUUCAUUAGCCUUGCUGCAACCUCUGGGCAGAAAUAUCUCAUUCCCUGAGAAAAGCACUCCUGGACAUUUUGAAGACAUGACUACUGAUGCAUCAGGGGGAAAAAAAAUCAGUAAGGCUGUCCACCCAGCCCCUGGUACUGUCAUUCACUGACACUCCCACUUCAAGCCAGCAUGCUCCUGACUGCAGAUCACCCUCUCCAUCCAACAUUACCCACCCAUGCUUUAUCAAUAUAUUGGCAUUAGAAGCAAUCCAGAGAAGAUUCACUCGGCGGAUACCAGAUACGAUGUGCCUGGACCUCUGACUGAUGCCAAGACAUGCCGCCCACCCCCCCCGCAACGACAGCACGAUCCCCCAAAACAGCCCUUGUGGUGCCAAUGGACUGCGCACGACCGCCUCCAUGGCCCCGUUGAACCACGGCCCUGGCGGCGGGUGGCUGUCUUUCUUUCGUCCCUUUUCUGUUUCUUUCCCCGCAGCAAUGCUAUUGCAGCCCCCCACCCCUUUCUUAACUACCUACCAAAAGAACCGGGUUGCAAGCGGGAACAAUAUGGCGGGAGCUGAAUGCACGGGUUGUGUCCUGCAGUGAAAGCGGAUCGAAUGUGGACCAGAGUGACGGUGGUGGAUCAAGAGUUGGCCAGCGAGAGCGGCCGGUGAGGCAGCGGCAGUGACAGCAAGCCGCUGAGGCAGCCGAGACUGGGACGCUGGCGGUGGCAUAGCAUAGGCUGGAAAGCCUGGAGCAGGACUCUGGUGGAGCUAUGCCAAUGGCUGGAAGGCGGCAGCGGAAAGGAAAGUUGGACUCAAGUUUUUUACUUAGUCUAAGACUAAGUUAAUGUGAAUGAUGCCAUGUAUGUAUGGCUAAGGUACACAUUUUUCACUUUUUUGUUGAAUACAUGUGCUAAUAAAUAACUCCAUUCAA
Rhincodon typus (whale shark) is the source of this 971-nucleotide long non-coding RNA. RefSeq lists it as uncharacterized. Lineage: Eukaryota; Metazoa; Chordata; Chondrichthyes; Orectolobiformes; Rhincodontidae. The record is from RefSeq and is a predicted model, not a curated record. The transcript is spliced from 3 exons.